This 491-nucleotide ribosomal RNA is filed under the name uncultured bacterium. RNAcentral describes it as "bacterial SSU rRNA". It matches the Rfam family "Bacterial small subunit ribosomal RNA", at positions 28 to 530 of the family's 1533-position model. The record is from RNAcentral.
GAUGAACGCUGGCGGCGUGCUUAACACAUGCAAGUCGAACGGAAAUAUAUGGAAGCCUAGCGAAGUAUAUUUUAGUGGCGGACGGGUGAGUAACGCGUGGAUAACCUGCCUUACACUGGGGGAUAACACUUAGAAAUAGGUGCUAAUACCGCAUAAGCGCACAGGGCCGCAUGGUCUGGUGUGAAAAACUCCGGUGGUGUAAGAUGGAUCCGCGUCUGAUUAGCUAGUUGGUGAGGUAAUGGCUCACCAAGGCGACGAUCAGUAGCCGGCCUGAGAGGGUGAACGGCCACAUUGGGACUGAGACACGGCCCAAACUCCUACGGGAGGCAGCAGUGGGGAAUAUUGCACAAUGGGCGAAAGCCUGAUGCAGCGACGCCGCGUGAGUGAAGAAGUAUUUCGGUACGUAAAGCUCUAUCAGCAAGGAAGAAAAUGACGGUACUUGACUAAGAAGCCCCGGCUAACUACGUGCCAGCAGCCGCGGUAAAACGUAG